GGUGACUCAGUGGUAGAGUGCUUGCCUUGCAUGCAUGAGGCCUGGGUUCAAUUCCUCAGCACCA
This 64-nucleotide transfer RNA is filed under the name Dipodomys ordii (Ord's kangaroo rat). It matches the Rfam family "tRNA". From Rfam's summary of the family: Transfer RNA (tRNA) molecules are approximately 80 nucleotides in length. Their secondary structure includes four short double-helical elements and three loops (D, anti-codon, and T loops). Lineage: Eukaryota; Metazoa; Chordata; Mammalia; Rodentia; Heteromyidae. The record is from Rfam by way of RNAcentral.